UCUAUGGACUUCGGUCCAUGGCGGACGGCUCAGUAACACGUGGUUAACCUACCCUUAGGUGGGGGAUAACCUUGGGAAACUGAGGAUAAUACCCCAUAGGAAAAGAGGUUUGGAAUAAUCCUUUUCUGAAAGGACAUCCGCCUAAGGAUGGGACUGCGUCUGAUUAGGUAGUUGGUGGGGUAAUGGCCCACCAAGCCUACGAUCAGUACGGGCCUUGAGAGAGGGAGCCCGGAGAUGGGGACUGAGACACGGCCCCAGGCCCUACGGGGCGCAGCAGGCGCGAAACCUCCACAAUGCACGAAAGUGCGAUGGGGGAAUCCCAAGUGCCUAUGUAAAACAUAGGCUUUUCCCAAGUUUAAACAACUUGGGGAAUAAGGGCUGGGCAAGUCCGGUGCCAGCAGCCGCGGUAACACCGGCGGCCCG
This 423-nucleotide ribosomal RNA is filed under the name uncultured prokaryote. RNAcentral's name for it is "bacterial SSU rRNA". It matches the Rfam family "Archaeal small subunit ribosomal RNA", at positions 59 to 486 of the family's 1478-position model. The record is from RNAcentral.